UUUUUUUCUCUUUUCUUCGCACCCACCUGCUGCCUGCCCACCAACUCUGGUUCCAUGGCUGGACUCGUCUAAAAUUCCCAAGCUGCCCUUAGAUCCAUUUUCUUUUUUCUCACUUUCUCCAUUUCAAUCCGAAUAAUUGGCUUUGCCUGCCCUAAAGCCUCAUUUUCCGAUCUGAUUUCAGUUGACGGCAACAUAAGACCCAAGAGGAAAGAGGAAGAGAAAUGGCGACGGCGAAAACGGGACGGUCCACGCGAGCGACGGCGGGAGCUGCAAAAGAAAACGGCACGAAAAUCGAGGAAGGCCUGAACGUUUUCAAAUCCGAUAAGUUCGACGCCGAUGGUUUUGUUCAGUCCAAGUGUUCUCUCAACGACAAGGUUUCUCGCCAUUUCUUUCUUCUUCUUCUUUUUCUUCUAAUCUAUUUAUUUACUACUUUUUAAGUUUUUUUUUUUAAUUCAAAAUUUGAAUGUUAAACUCUGAUUAAAUGAUUUAAUUCUGAAUAGGAAAUAAGGCAAUUAUGUUCUUAUCUAUUGGAUUUGAAGAGAGCUUCUGCUGAAGAAAUGCGUAAAAGUGUAUAUGCUAAUUAUUCCGCGUUUAUACGGUAACGUUUUGGCCUUCCUCUAGUCCACUAUAUUUGUUGUUGUUGCUAAUUAAUUAGUUAAUUGUUGUUUAAUCAUGAUUAUGGAAACUUGAAAAAGGAAAAUAAUAAAUUUAUUCGAUCAUUUGCAUUUCCCCUAUCUAGUAGUUUUUCCAAUGCUAAAUACUAACCUCAGCCAUUAGCAUUUGGUCAUAGUGAUUGCCUGUUUAGGGUAUACGAUCUCUGUUGUAAUGUUCAUAAUUAGUGGUUCAUAUUGACCCAAUAUCAUCUGAUUCUUGCUUAUUGCAUUUCAAUUAAGGACUCAUCUCGCUACAUCUUGUGAAAAAAAAGAAAAAUGUCCUUCCCAACAAAGACGAAAUCAGAAAUUCUAUGUGCUUCACAUGAAGCAAAAAACUGUUGGUUGAUAAACCAGGCGGGCGUUAUCUUGUUUUGCUACUUGCUUUUCUUGUGUGUGUAUUACUUACUCCAAAUUUUCUACAAAGUAGAAGCAAAGAGUGCAAGGCAUAAUUUUAUUUGAUUGAAAGUGAACAAAUGGCUCAAAUGUAAUGUUGUUCAAACAUAAUUUUUCUUAUGCAAAUAAAGGAUCAUGCAUUUAUGUUAUCUAUGAAAGUUAAAUUUUUGUUUUAAUUCUUCAAACAUAUUGGUUGCUUUUGAAUCCAAAUGCACUUAUUGCUUUGUUAGUUGAAGCAAUAAAGCUAGUAGCAAAAGUAACAACCAGACAGAACUUUAAUUCUUAAGCUUUAGAGUUUGGGCCAAAGACUGGCUGAGCAAAGUAAUAGUAAAACCUUUGCAGAAGUACACCCUGGAUUGAGUGCAGAGGAGUGAAGUCCUUUGCAUAUAUGAUAAAGUCACUCCAUUAUUGCAGCUUCAGCUGGUUUUCCAUGCAUUUUAAUUGUGAGAAAAAGCAUGGAAAGUAUUAUUGAGUUAUCUGGUGUGAGUAUCCUGGUCUGGACUGCAUAUGCGCCUGAUGUGUUGUAUGCUUGCUAGGCUGGAUCAAAAAUAUACAAAAAUGUAAAUUUACUAGAAAACUGGAAAUUGGACACAGAAAGGUUGUUUUCUAGCACCCUACCAUUUGUUUGGAAAUCCUACUUAAUGCUAUGGUAUUUGACAGAAUUCCAUAGAUCUAAGAACCACACAUCAAAGGACAGAUAGAAGUGUAAUUCCACAAGAGGUAUGUGCUCUAGAAGUGAGCACAUGGAUUUCAGUUUCUUGAGACUACAGAGAUAUUAUUUGCACAUGGAUUUCAUUUUUCUAGGGAUUGCUGGAGGUGCUUAUGUGGUAAUGGCCUAAUACUAACUUUAAACACAAUGUGUAGGAACUAUGUUUUAAAUGAAUUCAUGUAGUCUGCGGCCUUUUUUUUUUUUUAAAAAAAAAGAAAUUAUAUGCUAAAUCAAGUAUGAAGCUUUGUCAAUUCUGUUGGGUUUGUCUGUAUGAAGAAGAAAAUUUUCCACACUUUUUUCUUCUCAUUAUUUGCUAUAUUAUGUUGUUUUCUGUUGGUUAAAUGAGAAUCAUUGUUUUGUCAGCAGUGCAUUUGUUUUUAUUCUCUCUCUCUCUCUCUUUCUUACUGAAAAUUGUUCUGUUAGCUGAAAUUCGGUGCCCGUUGUGGACACUUCAUUUUAUACUCUUUAUUUUUGUUCAAAGGGAUGCAGUUUAUAGAUGUAGAGGUUGCCGUUGAUUUUAUUGAGAUUACUAGGAAAAGGUAUUGAAAACAGUGUUUGAAUGUUUGUUGCAUCUAGCAACUAAUUAGUUUUUUUUUUUUUUUCUUUCUGAAGAAUUUAUGUGGAUCUUUACGUGUUCUCAGUAUUAAGAGACCAGUAAUUUGGUUACAUUCAUAGAAGUUGUAGAGGUGUGAAACUUCAGGAUCCACGUGGGGUUGGGGAGUUGUACCUUGGCCUGCAAUGCCCCUACCUUAAAGGGUGGCGCCUGUCCUUGAACUUAAAGGCCUAAGCGUAGAGGUGUUGAAAGUAAAACUUCUUUGUUGUUGCCCCCAGAAGGGAAGGGGGAUGGGUUGUUGAUAAAUUUACUUGUUAUUGAUGAUAUUAAUCUUUAGAAGCUGCUGUCAUUGUUUAAAAAUUAGAUGGAUUCUGGAUUUUAAGACAUGUGGGCUUCGUUCUUGCAGCACGUCUAAAGAGAUAUCUGAUUUAGAAGGAGAGCUUUCGUCUAUAAGAAAUCUGCUUUCGACGCAGGCAACGUUAAUUCAUGGUUUGGCUGAGGGAGUUCAUAUAGAUUCAUUGUCCCCCAAAGCUUCUGAAGGCCCUACUGCUAAUGGCUUGUUGGAUAUUGAAGAUAGUGAACCUUCAGAUCUGGAGAAAUGGUCAGCCGAAUUCCCUGAUCUCCUGGAUGUUUUGUUAGCUGAGAAGAGAGUAGAUGAAGCUCUGGCAGCGCUUGAUGAAGGAGAACGUGCAGUUGCUGAAGCAAAGGAAACAAAAUCAUUGAGUUCUUUGGCACUUACAUCUCUAGAGACUACUAUUAUAGAGCGCAAGCAAAAGUUGGCUGACCAACUUGCUGAAGCUGCUUGUCAACCUUCUACACGCGGUGCUGAACUUCGUGCAUCAAUAUUGGCUCUUAAAAAGCUAGGUGAUGGACCACGUGCUCAUACUUUGCUCCUUAAUGCACACUUCCAAAGAUAUCAAUAUAACAUGCUUAGCCUUCGCCCAUCAAGCACCUCAUACGGAGGAGCAUAUACUGCUGCCCUUUCACAGUUGGUGUUCUCUGCUAUUGCUCAAGCUGCUAGUGAUUCCUUGGCUAUUUUUGGCAAGGAACCAGCUUAUACUUCGGAGCUUGUAAUGUGGGCAACGAAGCAAACGGAGGCUUUUGCCCAUCUUGUUAAAAGACAUGCAUUGGCUUCUUCAGCAGCUGCUGGUGGUCUAAGGGCAGCUGCAGAGUGUGUUCAGAUAGCUUUAGGUCAUUGCUCAUUGUUGGAAGCUCGUGGUUUGGCACUUUGUCCUGUGCUCUUGAAACUCUUUAGGCCUAGCGUUGAGCAAGCGCUUGAUGCUAAUCUGAAAAGAAUUGAAGAAAGCACUGCAGCUCUGGCUGCUGCUGAUGAUUGGGUGCUAACAUAUCCCCUAGGUGGUACUCGUCAAUCUGGCUGGCCCUCUAGUGCAUCCGUUGGUAAUACAACAGCAUUUCAGCAUAAACUAACAAGUAGUGCUCAUCGAUUCAAUUCAAUGGUCCAGGUGAACAGUUUAAUUUAAUAUAAAUGUAUCUUGUCUUUGUUAUGUGUGUAUACUUGCACAUGCAUAUCUGCCUGACCUGUUUGUGCUUUUCUCUUUUUUUUUUUUUGUUGAAUUUGAUCUUGUUAUCUACCUUCACUUUUUGAUAAAUCAUGGAUGAAGGGAAUAACUUUUCUUAAAGUGGUUCUUUAGCCUGAUAAUCGGAUUCCAAAUUGCAAGGCGAAUCUUGUGGUUAAGAUACUAGUAAUUUGAUACCUAAUUUAUCAUACUUUUCUUUGGUUCUGCAGGUUUUGAAACUACUUUUGUUUAAAUAUUCAGGGUGCCUUUUUUAGUUGGUCCCACUUAGUCUUUUCACUCAUAAAUCUUUUGGCAUUUCAUCUAUUCAAAAUCACUCUUCCAAAUUUGUGUUCUCCAAUGGUGUGGGGAUCCUUUGGGCUUAGGGAGCUCACUAGUGUUGAUGGGGCUUUAUGGAAUGGUUUUGGUUGGAUUAAAUAGGUUGAAAUAUGGAAAAGAGUAGGAUCAGUGGGUUUUAGCCAUAGAAAUUCUAGUUGUUCGUCUGUGAAGGAAAAUUAGAGGUGGACAGCAUUUGUUUGUAAGAUCAUUGGUGGACAUUGGACAUAGCCAUGUAGGAGAUUGUGGAUGGCAUUUGUUUGUAGAUUGAUGUUUUAUGCAUUUCUCUUGGUUCAUUUUGUUGUGUAAUGGCUUUAUAUCCUUUGACUCAUUGUGAUGUCUAUUCUGCUUGCACUUAUAGGAGUUCUUUGAGGAUGUGGGACCACUAUUAAGCAUGCAGUUGGGAGGGCAAACACUGGAAGGGUUGUUUCAGGUGUUUAACUCAUAUGUAAACAUGCUCAUAAAAGCAUUACCUGGUUCAAUGGAUGAAGAUGCAAACUUUGAAGGUACCGGAAAUAAAAUUGUGCGAAUGGCUGAGACUGAGGCCCAACAAAUUGCUUUGCUAGCAAAUGCAUCAUUAUUGGCAGACGAACUUCUCCCACGUGCAGCCAUGAAGCUUUCCCCAAAUCAGGCUAGUUACAAGGAUGACCACCGUAGAAGAACUUCAGAUAGGCAAAACCGUCAUCCUGAGCAACGAGAAUGGAAGAGGCGCCUUAUGAGUUCAGUUGAGAGACUAAAGAAUACAUUUUGUCAACAACAUGCCCUAGAUCUCAUUUUCACGGAAGAGGGUGAUAGCCAUCUUACUGCAGAAAUGUACAUUAAUAUGUAUGGUACUGCAGAUGAGGUGGAGUGGUUUCCAUCUCUAAUAUUUCAGGUGAUUUUAUCGUUCUUUUAUAUAUAUGUCAUUACACCUGGUUCUCUUGGUAGUUGGAAUAUUGUUUCCUUUAAUCGUUGUUUGUGGCUCAAACCACCUAGUUUGAGCAGGUGUGUUUUACUUUAACCAUUGUCUUCGCUUUUAACAUCUCAUAGUAUCUUGUUUGUAAGGUUAUAAUUCUUAUUUCACACUUCAGAUUUAGAUUUCUUCCUCGAUUAAUAGUUGAUUUGUCUUUAGUACUUGAUAUAGGCAUGAGUUCGUAUUUUUGUUUUUGUUUUUGUUUUAUGUUUUUAAUAUGUAAGUUGAAAGUUUUCAUGCUGGGCAAAACCGUCUUCUGCUGUAAUUUUGUUUUUAUAAGGGCCUUGGUAAUUUAAUCUAGUCUAGGGUCUCUUGGAGUUUCUAAAAGUUCCAUAUGUGUUUCCUUUAAGUUAACGUGUAUGUGUUUAUUAGCCAGUUUCUUUCGCAAUUUUUGAUCCUAGUGAAUGAGGGAGAAGUCUUGGGAGCUCCUUUUAAAAAUAACCAUACAAUCUUCAUGUUUUUUACUUGGUUUUGGGUUAACAAAAUUAUGAGGUAAUUAUUAAUGCAUGGAUGCUUGGAGUCUCAUGCAUGCUCAUUCUACCUGUUUAUAUAUUAUUCUUUGCUUUCUAUUUACAGCAUAGGUUUUUGGUGUUUAAUGGGCUUUCACUCAAUUUUUUUAUGUGAUAUUUUACUUUAAUUUUCUCUAUGCUAUGUGGUUUGAGAAUUCUGACCACGUUGUCAUGAUAUGUUUUUACAAUUCAGGAACUCUUUGCAAAACUAAACAGGAUGGCUAGCCUGGCAGCAGAUGUGUUUGUAGGAAGGGAAAGAUUUGCUACAUCGCUAUUGAUGCGACUUACAGAAACUGUCAUCAUAUGGCUGUCAGAAGAUCAAAGCUUUUGGGAUGAUAUUGAGGAUGGACCAAGGCCUUUAGGUCCACUUGGUUUACAACAGGCAUGUAAACUUGUUAUCAUUCCUUUUGUGCUUUUGCAUUUGUAUUGGAUUGUUAAAAUUGAGCUAUUUCUUGUCUAUUUGCAGUUUUAUCUGGAUAUAAAAUUUGUCAUAUGCUUUGCUUCCCAAGGCCGGUACCUAUCAAGGAAUUUGCAUAGAGUUGUCAAUGAAAUAAUAGCUAAAGCCAUGGCUGCAUUUUCUGCUACAGGGAUGGAUCCAUAUAGGUAUGUUAUGAUAGUUCUUUUAUUAUUAUUAUUAAAUUUAUGAGAUGUUUCUCAUAACUGCGGUUCUUGUUGAAUACCGUGUAUUUAACAUUGUUGGAUUUAACAGGAAGAUGGGAAGCCCAUACUGAAAAAUUGUUAGAUGCAUGUACAAGUAUAGGAAAUUCUCAUGAAUUGCUGUAUACUUAAUAGCUUGACGCCCUUCCCCCCAAAUUUUUUUUCUCUUCCUAAAGAAGUUAGUUGGGUUUUCAGUUAGUAAAUUUCGGCAAAUAUAUUGUAUUGGCAUUGAAGCAUUUGGUUUUCGUUUUUUUCCUGUCAGCGUGCUGCCUGAUGAUGACUGGUUCAAUGACAUUUGUCAAGAUGCAAUAGAAAGAUUAAGCGGAAAGCCAAAAGCCGACCGGGAUCUAAAUAGCCCUACUGCCUCCGUUUCAGCACAAUCAAUGUCAUCCGUCAGAUCGCAUGGGAGUUCCUAGGCAUAUGUUUCCACCUUUGUAUAUUUGACAGCUAACAGAAUUGGUAAAUGGAUCUCUCCAGGCAGAUCCCUGUAUUCAUAGUAAGGCAUUUAAAUUUUUUUUUCACAUUUAAUUCUUCUUUAAACCUUGGUUAUUCUUUUCCUAGGUUCGAUGUAUGCAUGAAUCAUGGUCAUAAAGUUAGGAUUCAGCGAAUCCAACGGUCCUCCCCCUUCCCUUCCCUUCUUUUUUGCAGUUACCUUACAUUUUGGUUUGAGUGAGUCGUGAUUAUGUAAAUGUUGAUUGCUUGAUUUGUUUUUUAGUCUCCGGGAACUAAUCAUGUAUAAUUCUUUGAUAAUAUGGUUUAAAUCGUUUGUCUAUUCAUUUAAUUAUGUAUUCAAAAUAAAAUCUCGAGUCGUUCAUUUAUUAUUAUUAUUAUUGUUUGAGUACAAGAUAUCUCUAUCUGAAGUCUUUACUGCUUAGUGCUUACUCUUAUCGCAUGAGUUAAGCCGGUUAAAAUAUUUUUUUAAAAUUUAUAUUUAAUGUAUUGUUAGUAUAUAAUAUUUGUAUAUUAUUGUUUAAUUAGAGUAUAGGAUUAUUUAUAUUUAUUAUUUAAUAUUUUUAAUUUUUAAAUUUAUUUUAUUAAUAAGAUGAUAACAUUUGAUUCGAUGAUAAUAUACUAUGUAUUAAAUAUAUAUCUUAUUUGAUUUGGUUUUGAAAAUGCAAACAUGUACUUGAUACUUACAUGGGCCCAAACCCAUGCAAUUUCACCUUUUCUUUUCUGAUAAACGAGGACAUAAGAAGAUCUGUAAUAGACUUCUGAGGUUGGUCUUUAACAAUGGCCAUCACUUUUAUAAAGAAAAAAGUUUAAAUGGGCGGUGGCUAGCCCUUCAAAUUUAAAGGUGGCUACACUCAAGAAACCUAAGCUAAUGUUUGCUUCUCUCAGUGAUAUUAGAGUUUAACAGUUGCCUCACUACACCUCUCAUUGUAGGUCUUUUACUUGGUUAAACUCUAUGGUAAAUAUUUUGAAUUUAUUAUGGUUCUCUCGUUAAGGUUAUUCGUCUAAUAUUAUUUCAAUUUUUAUUAAACUCUCUGACAAGAUAUCCAAUUUCAUAAUUAUAUAUAUAUAUAUAUAUAGUUUGAUUCAAUUUUUUUCUUUUCAUUAUCUAUCCUAUUCUCUUUUCAUAACUCUUAUAAAUUUAUUACUAUAUAUAUUAUGCAACUAGAUAUUUAAAUUUUAUGUUUCAAACAUAUUAAUUAUUUUGAAUUUUCCAUCAUCGAUAAUUCUACUUAUUUAUCUAUUUAUUCAUUAUUACGAGUAUUACCAUUUUCACUAUUUCAUUUUUAUUUUUGGACAACUUAAAUGAGUAUUUGUUAUCUAUUCUUUUGUAUAUCAUUAUUUUUUUACAUAUUUAUUAUAUUUGUAUUUAUAUUUUGAUUAAUUUAUUGUAUAAUAAUUUUUAUUUAUUUUAAUUAAAUUAAAUAUCUCGAAAUCUUAAAAUUGAGGCCCUCCUAUCGUACUAGUAGGGCCUUAAUUCGAAUUCCAAGCCUAAAAAAAAAUUCAUCCGAAAUUAUGACUCUUCGCAUUUCGGGAGAAUGUCUCAUCAUCAGUAUAAGUUUGUAUUAUCUCCAUUAGCACUAUCAUAUGUGUAGGAACACUAAUUAUAAGCCCUACAUGGUACUUCCCUUUUUAUUAUAUUCUCUACCAUUUCCCUUUUUGUGCUAAAUAUUUACCUUUUAGAUUUUAAUUCAUUAUCAUCAUUAUUUUAUAACCAAAUAUUUAUUUACUUUAUAUAUCUAUAUUUUAUCUACCUAAAUACAUUUUCCUUUGAACUAAAUAUUUUUCUGCUCCUAUAUUCAUUAUAACUAUAUGUAUUUAGUUACCUACCUUAAAAAAAUUAAUUUUUUUAUACAUGCCCUUUCUACAUCUUUAUGUCUGCUUCAAUCUAUUUUUAUACCUAAAUAUAUUUUAUCUUUUUUUUUAUUUUUUUGUUUUAACAAUUUCCUUUCCCAUACCACUGAUUUUAUACUUGUAAAAAGUACCAAAUAUCUUUUCGCAUCCAUUUUUUUUUAAAAAGCUGUAAAUUUAUUUUCUUAAAAAUAAAUAAUAAAUAAAACAAAAUUAAAAAAAUCAUUUAAAACAGACAUCAAAGAUUCAAACCCAAUAACUUCAGAACCCAGAACAUACCAAGGUUCGGGCUUAGACUAGCCGAAAAAACUGGACCUUGCCCACAACAGCUCCAGAAGCCCACUUCUUCUCCGGUCAAAGUUCACCGUUCAGGACAGAGGGAUGGAGGCUUGUUCUUCCUAAAAUGGCACCGUUUUGGGUGCUAUCCUCACUGCUGGUGGACUAUUGACAAAACAGUGCCGUUUCAGCACUUUAACCUUUCUAAAACCAACCUAUAAAAUUUUUUUUUUGGUUAUCAUUUUCUUUCCUACCAUUCUCUCUCUAGCCGUCACUCACUCGCUUUCUCUCUAAAAAAUCACGCUUUUCUCCCCAAAUCCUUCUACUCCUCCUACCAGCGGCUUGAAACCUUCUCUCUCUAAAAUUCUGUCCCUUUUCCUCCCCCUCUCAAUCGGUGACUCAAACUUUUCCUAAAACCCCAAAAAAUCAAAGAAAAGGAAAAGCUUCGAUCUAACUACUGCCCUUCCCCACUUCUGUUGAUUUUUUGAUUUCUUUUUUUGGUUUUUCUUUUGUGGCUAGGGUAAAAUGGUUGCUAGAAAGCUUAGGGUUUUUUUUAUUUUUUGGUUCUGCAGUUCCUAUAUAUAUUUUUUCUUCUUUUUUGGUUCGGAUUUGCCCCUUCGAUUUUCUUCUCGAAGAGGGCAGCUCCCUUUGAGCGCUGGGGAUGCCACCUGUGCUCCCCCAGCCUCGUGAAGGAUCUGCCAGACGUGACUUUUCCGCAUCUGGCAGGGUAGUUAGUUCUGAGCAGGGUGCAAAACGCACUCUGCUAAACCAUUUUCAUCAUCUUGCUUUUUUUUUUUUCAUUUUUAGUGUUAUUUUUUGGUUUUUUGUUCUUUUGAAUCUGGUGAAGCUUACUUAGUUUUAAUCCCGAUUUAUUAAAUUUGCUUGUAUUUGUUUAAUUUGAUCUGAAUUUGUGAUCUUAAUGUUCUUUGGAUAUGUUUUUGGGCCUCAAAUUAAAGGUCCAAACCCAAUUCUCAUUGGGUUAUGAACCAAGACACCAACAGAAUAAAAUAACCCAAAAAGCAUAUAAAAUAAAAUAAAAAAAAGAAAAAAAGAAAUGGGAAUAAUAAAAACAUGUCAACAACUGUUCUUUUUUGUACAUUUUUGAAAUAAACAACAGUGUAAAAACGUAAACACUAUAUUUGAUCUAAUUUAUUAAUUUUCUUUAUUCAAAGUUUUACGCAAUUGAAAAAAAAAAAAAUUUUAAAAAAGAUAAACCACUCUUCAUCUGACACCUUAAUACUUUCAAGUUAAGUUUCCACUAAGGAAGAAAGCAACGAAAGGAGAAGGAAAAUAGUUGUUUGUUUAUUAAUCUUUCAUACAAUGCUUACCAAGUCAAUCUAAAUCUUUUUCCCUUCAUUUUUGUAUCUUAAUUAUUCUCAAAACAAGAAGAUUAAUUGGACAUACUUUUUCUAGGAGGAAUAAUUUUAUAAUCAGUUGGAAGUUUCCUUUACAAAUUAAAUAGAGAAUGUAGGAUUUGUUGUCCACGCGAAGAAAUAUUGUUUAAUCAAAUAAUUAUAUAUUAUUAGUAUUAUUAUAUAGUAUAAAAGUUACGUUUAAUUAUUUAUAUAACGUAAAUAAUUAAUUAAAGAAUGUAAAGCGGUGAAAUUUUUGACAUGUAGGGGUAGGAAGCUGAUUACCUUGUAUAAAAAAUUAAAUACACGUAACUUUUACAAUAUAUAUUUUAUAACAAGUGAGUUGAAAACUUAUGUUUAUCUCUAUAUACGUUUAUCUUUGACAAUUUGAUUAAAAAAAUAUUCCUCCGGUCCAAGGCAUCGAAUAACAACACUCCCUACACUCACCUAUAAUUUGACUUCAACACAAAAUAAUCCAAAUUAGAUGCUUAAUUAAAAAUCAAAUAUUUUACCAUAGCUAAAAUUCAAAGCCUUUACGUAAUUCUUACGCCAUUUCAAUAAAAAAAUAAUUCCUCCGAGUGGAAAACUCACUCUGAUCAUGACUAGUACCAUUAAAUAUUUUAGGGUUGCAUUCAACGAUUGAGAACUGCCAUGAAUUAGUAGGCGCCCGUAUUUUUUUAAAAUGAAAAAGACUUUAAUUCAGUAGAAUCCAACACCAAUAGGAGUUGGUAUAUAUGAUUCGAUAUACGGUACCUAGUUUGACUUGGUAUAUGCACUGCACAAAUUGGCAUACUAUAUUUUAAUCAUUUACAUGAGGUAAGAAAUGUAAGAUGGACGAAAAAUUUUCCCUUUAAAAACCGCUACUGUCCCAGCAAAACUCACCAAAACAAAAAGCAAAAAAAAAAAAAAAGAAAUGUCUCCUGCCAGUAAUCUUUCCUUGAGGUUGGCAUCGCAUCUUUCCCUUGUUUUCAAUGCUUAGAUAACGAAUGUUUGUAUUCAAAUAGCUUUUUUUACUGAUUUGAUCUUUUAAUGAAUGUUUCUUGAACCAAAAUAUUGCAUUUUUCGCCUUGGUGCAGCAACAGUAGUACGGCCAGCAAUCAUAAGCAUGCCAUUUUGAGCUUCCUAAUAGCUGCUUUUCUCGCGUUAUUGCCAGUGAAAUUGCAUUCGUUGAAUUCCCCGGGAGCUGGAUUUGACACGCACCGUGCGAUCCUCUCGGUCUUUCUCACCACUACGCUUGCGUACGCCGUCGUUUUAGCAAUCGAAAUCAACCUUGGAACCAACAACAGCCCAUAUCACCUUAUCGUGAGUAAAAUCAGUCUCUUGCUGGGCAGUGUCGGAACGGUCUGUCUUCUUUUAAUACUGGUGCGUGGUCUUGGGUAUGUCACUCUUCUAAUUUGGGCCCUCUUCCUUGUCAAGCUCAUAUAUGAAGCAUGCCAAAGCCUACAUCAGCUUUAUAGGGCAAUUUCAUUUGCCUCCGAUUUAUUCAAUGGACUGCUUGGUCGCAGUCGAGGUGGCUAUCAGAACGAAAGAAGAAUUAUGCUACCUGUUUAAAGCAAGGGGUGUUGAUAGAUACUUAAUUAAGUUUUUAGUUAAUAAAUAUGACAUAUGGUAUGUCAUGCUAAUUAAUUUGUUAAUUUAUCUUUUUUCCUGUAAUAAAAUUUUUUGUGAUUAGUAGCUAUUGAACUUUGCAAUAUAAGGAUGGCCAAGGUUGUCGAUUGCCAGCUGGGUGUCUCAAGUAAAACCUAUCAAACCAAAAGGAAACGCAAAAUGCCCCUCCCUCGUUCCAAAUCUCUUUUUUCUUAUUAUUGAAAGGAAAUUUUACUCAAUAAAAUUAAUAAACAACAUAGAUAACAACAAUACUCAUUCAAAUAAGUUCGACAAAAAAACAAGAUAAUCUAUCCUUUACUAAUCUAAAACACUUCAUUUGGUUGAAUGAUUGUGGUUAUUAGUGAUUUUCAUAUCACUACCCAGGGUAUAAUUUUGAUAAUUUUGAACUCCCACACAGCAAACACAAAUUCAAUUUUGAAUUUGUUCUUGAUCUUGAGAGAUAGUAUUAGCCUUAAUUAGGGAAUCGAUUUGUGUUUAAUGUGUGGGAGUUCCUUUCCAAAAGUGAAAAUCGAAUUUGUGUCUCUCAUGUUGAAUUUUCAUUUGCUAUGUGUUCGAGUUUAUCUCUCAAUGAAAGGUUGUGUAUUUGCUUUUAAAAUAUCUCGUCUCACUCAUGUGAACAAAUUUUAAUUAACUGUUCAACCCGGAAAAACUGGAAAUGCUGGAUUAGUGAUGAAUAAUAGCAUUUGGGAAUUUUGUUCCAAAGCUCUAUUUCACAAGCUGUCGUAGUUCUGUCGGAUGUGGAAUCUUGCCUCCAUUGUUUGCCUUUCCAUAAGCUAUGUGUGGUUUUUGAAUUGGGUGUUACUUUAUUGAGAAGAAUGGCUAUUGCUCUUUGCAUAACUGUCCCAUUUGCAGUGGAAGCAUGGUGAUUAACUUACGCAUUUGGUUGUUCGGCAUAUAGUUUUAAAGUCUUCAAUAGUUCAUUUGUUUGUCUGCUUCUAUUUGUGUGGUUGGUGAUGCUUUUUAAUACCAGAACAAGGCUGGAAAUCCAAGCUGAUGCAGCAUGUGUGGAUCUGGCCCAUAGUUGAAUAGCUGUAAUCUUUGUACUCAAGCUAUCACUUUGGUUCCAUAGUUUCGACAUGUUUUUCUCCAUUUCAAUCCCAAUAAUUGCCUUUGCCUGCCCUAAAGCCUCAUUUUCCGAUCUGAUUUCAGUUGACGGCAACAUAAGACCCAAGAGGAAAGAGG
This 12995-nucleotide long non-coding RNA is filed under the name Theobroma cacao (cacao). Its description in RNAcentral is "long non-coding RNA (TCAC_LNC003645)". Lineage: Eukaryota; Viridiplantae; Streptophyta; Magnoliopsida; Malvales; Malvaceae. The record is from RNAcentral.